GACUGCCAGUGAUAAACUGGAGGAAGGUGGGGAUGACGUCAAGUCAUCAUGGCCCUUACGACCAGGGCUACACACGUGCUACAAUGGCGCAUACAAAGAGAAGCGACCUCGCGAGAGCAAGCGGACCUCAUAAAGUGCGUCGUAGUCCGGAUUGGAGUCUGCAACUCGACUCCAUGAAGUCGGAAUCGCUAGUAAUCGUGGAUCAGAAUGCCACGGUGAAUACGUUCCCGGGCCUUGUACACACCGCCCGUCACACCAUGGGAGUGGGUUGCAAAAGAAGUAGGUAGCUUAACCUUCGGGAGGGCGCUUACCACUUUGUGAUUCAUGACUGGGGUGAAGUCGUAACAAGGUAACCGUAGGGGAACCUGCGGUUGGAUCACCUCCUU
RNAcentral lists this ribosomal RNA (386 nucleotides) under Escherichia coli. Its description in RNAcentral is "bacterial SSU rRNA". It matches the Rfam family "Bacterial small subunit ribosomal RNA", at positions 1147 to 1532 of the family's 1533-position model. Lineage: Bacteria; Pseudomonadati; Pseudomonadota; Gammaproteobacteria; Enterobacterales; Enterobacteriaceae. The record is from RNAcentral.